Molecule: ribosomal RNA, 253 nt
Filed under: uncultured bacterium
Lineage: Bacteria
Description: partial 16S ribosomal RNA
Rfam family: Bacterial small subunit ribosomal RNA
Source: RNAcentral
UACGGAGGGGGCCAGCGUUGUUCGGAAUCAUUGGGCGUAAAGGGCGCGUAGGCGGCCGAUCAAGUCGGAGGUGAAAUCCCUCGGCUCAACUGAGGAAUUGCCUCCGAUACUGUUCGGCUUGAGUCCUGGAGAGGGUAGAGGAAUUCCCAGUGUAGCGGUGAAAUGCGUAGAGACUGGGAAGAACACCAGUGGCGAAGGCGGCUACCUGGACAGGUACUGACGCUGAAGCGCGAAAGCUAGGGGAGCAAACAGG